GUACAUCUAGGUCUGUGGGCCGUGACAAGUCAACUUGUGGUUUGUCAAGGUCCAGUUCUAUGAGCCGGGACAGUUCAAGUAGUCGUUCGUCCACGUCCGUGGGCCGGGACAGUUUAAGUAGUGUACCCAGGUCCCAGGCUGUGGAGAGCAAGUCCAUAGAUGGUCUUACACAUGAAAGUUCCAAAUACAAUAGGACUGUGCCAACCACAUUCCCGAUGUCAGAAGCGAGUUUGUCAGCUGGCAAGAGUGGGGGGUAAAGACAUUAAAGACUGCACGUACAAAAUGUUGGACAGGCUCCUCACCAAUCAACUGAUGACCCUUUUCAACAUGAAGGGGAAGGGCAAAAAAGAGAAAAUG
Paramisgurnus dabryanus is the source of this 357-nucleotide non-coding RNA. The record is from RefSeq and is a predicted model, not a curated record. Lineage: Eukaryota; Metazoa; Chordata; Actinopteri; Cypriniformes; Cobitidae.